Molecule: ribosomal RNA, 797 nt
Filed under: uncultured bacterium
Lineage: Bacteria
Description: bacterial SSU rRNA
Rfam family: Bacterial small subunit ribosomal RNA
Source: RNAcentral
UCGAACGAGACUUUUUAUUUGAUGCUUGCAUCUUUUAAAAAGUUGAGUGGCGAACGGGUGAGUAACACGUGGGUAACCUGCCUUAAAGUGGGGGAUAACACUUGGAAACAGGUGCUAAUACCGCAUAACCAUCAAAACCGCCUGGUUUUGAUGUUAAAGAUGGUUCUGCUGUCGCUUUAAGAUGGACCCGCGGCGUAUUAGCUAGUUGGUGAGGUAAUGGCUUACCAAGGCAAUGAUACGUAGCCGAACUGAGAGGUUGAUCGGCCACAUUGGGACUGAGACACGGCCCAAACUCCUACGGGAGGCAGCAGUAGGGAAUCUUCCACAAUGGACGAAAGUCUGAUGGAGCAACGCCGCGUGAGUGAAGAAGGUUUUCGGAUCGUAAAACUCUGUUGUCAGAGAAGAACGUGUGUGAGAGUAACUGUUCACGCAGUGACGGUAUCUGACCAGAAAGUCACGGCUAACUACGUGCCAGCAGCCGCGGUAAUACGUAGGUGGCAAGCGUUGUCCGGAUUUAUUGGGCGUAAAGGGAACGCAGGCGGUCUUUUAAGUCUGAUGUGAAAGCCUUCGGCUUAACCGAAGUCGGGCAUUGGAAACUGGGAGACUUGAGUGCAGAAGAGGAGAGUGGAACUCCAUGUGUAGCGGUGAAAUGCGUAGAUAUAUGGAAGAACACCAGUGGCGAAAGCGGCUCUCUGGUCUGUAACUGACGCUGAGGUUCGAAAGCGUGGGUAGCAAACAGGAUUAGAUACCCUGGUAGUCCACGCCGUAAACGAUGAAUGCUAAGUGUUGGAGGGUUU